UCCAAGUGAAGUAGAGGACAGUGGCGGACGGGUGAGUAACGCGUGAGGAACCUGCCUUUCAGAGGGGGACAACAGUUGGAAACGGAUGCUAAAACCGGAUAGGUAGCAGACAAGCAUUUGACUGCUAUUAAAGUGGCUAAGGCCAUGAACAUGGAUGGACCUGCGGUGCAUUAGCUAGUUGGUGAGGUAACGGCCCACCAAGGCGACGAUGCAUAGCCGGCCUGAGAGGCCGAUCGGCCACAUUGGGACUGAGAUACGGCCCAAACUCC
RNAcentral lists this ribosomal RNA (269 nucleotides) under uncultured bacterium. RNAcentral's name for it is "partial 16S ribosomal RNA". It matches the Rfam family "Bacterial small subunit ribosomal RNA", at positions 76 to 339 of the family's 1533-position model. The record is from RNAcentral.